Long non-coding RNA from Homo sapiens (human), 461 nucleotides. Lineage: Eukaryota; Metazoa; Chordata; Mammalia; Primates; Hominidae. The record is from Ensembl.
UCAUUGCCUUACUGGUGUUUGUCCUGAGAGCAUGCCCUCCACAAAUGUAACAUUUCUCAGAGUGCUAUUAUCAGGAUUUAUGAGAAAGUUGAGGUGCAGAGAGGUCAAGGAACUUGUUGCAGCUCACUGAACUGAUGGAGUCUCACUCUGUCACCAGGCUAGAGUAUAGUGGCACGAUCUUGGCUCACUGCAACCUCCACCUCCCAGGAUCAAGCAAUUCUCCUGCCUCAGCCUCUGCAGUAUCUGGGACUACAGGCACGCACCACCAUGCCCAGCCUCCCAAAGCAAGUCUCUUCCCUCUGGCAGCAGAGAAGCGGAUUUUCUGCUCAACCUGCUUUGAUCACCAAAUGAGUCAGGGAGAAGAACAUGGAUGGAAAUAUCCUCAGUCAAGAACUUCACAAGCACCAGUUGCUUUAACCAGGGGCUCUAGAAAUUUUCUAGAAUAAAUGCUUCUCAAUUUG